CCUCCAUUUCUUGGCAUACAUGUAGUUGUUCGUACUCAUGUGUGUAAUGUUCGGAGGAACAAUAAGACAGCGCUAUGUCUUCGGUGCCGGUAUGUAAUCUGUCAUUUGCCGGUUCUAUCCUCAAUCGCUGUUACACAC
Gouania willdenowi (blunt-snouted clingfish) is the source of this 138-nucleotide small nucleolar RNA. Ensembl annotates it as small nucleolar RNA SNORA57. The record is from Ensembl. Lineage: Eukaryota; Metazoa; Chordata; Actinopteri; Blenniiformes; Gobiesocidae.